This 414-nucleotide ribosomal RNA is filed under the name uncultured microorganism. RNAcentral describes it as "bacterial SSU rRNA". It matches the Rfam family "Archaeal small subunit ribosomal RNA", at positions 459 to 872 of the family's 1478-position model. The record is from RNAcentral.
CAGCAGCCGCGGUAAUACCGGCGGCCCGAGUGGCGGCCACUAUUAUUGGGCUUAAAGCGUCCGUAGCCGGGUUGGGAAGUCCUCCGGGAAAUCUGGCCGCUUAACGGUCAGAAUGCCGGAGGAUACUCCCAGCCUAGGGACCGGGAGAGGCCGAGGGUAUUCCCGGAGUAGGGGUGAAAUCCUAUAAUCCCGGGAGGACCACCUGUGGCGAAGGCGCUCGGCUGGAACGCGUCCGACGGUGAGGGACGAAGGCCAGGGGAGCAAACCGGAUUAGAUACCCGGGUAGUCCUGGCGGUAAACGAUGCGGACUUUGUGUCGGACAAGCUAUGAGCUUGUCCGGUGCCGGAGGGAAACCGUUAAGUCCGCCGCCUGGGGAGUACGGCCGCAAGGCUGAAACUUAAAGGAAUUGGCGGG